This is a long non-coding RNA of Microtus ochrogaster (prairie vole), 398 nucleotides long. RefSeq lists it as uncharacterized. The transcript is spliced from 2 exons. The record is from RefSeq and is a predicted model, not a curated record. Lineage: Eukaryota; Metazoa; Chordata; Mammalia; Rodentia; Cricetidae.
CACAUGACCUAGAGAGUCCACUCCUAGAUACAUGCCCGAGGGAGAUGACAAGAAAUGCCUGCACCAAAAAGUAGAUGUUCUCUUAGUAGGACCUGGGGUUUGCUGACUGAACUACACCAGCAAGCCAGUGAACUCCAGGGAUCCACCUGCUACCACCUUUCCAGCUCUGGGCUUACAAGGGCAGCCACCAUGCCUGGAUUGUCACAUGGAGGCUGGAGAUUGAAUUCAGGUCUUCAUGCAGCAAUCACUUUAUGACUGAACCAUUUCCCCCAGCCUCCACGGUGUCUUAAUGCUAGCUGUGUCUUGGUUGUGCAUAUACUAAAACCACGGAACUAUGUGCUUUAACUAGAAGAAUGAUAUGGCAUAUGAAUUUUGCUAAUAAAACAUCUGAAGGGACA